This 253-nucleotide ribosomal RNA is filed under the name uncultured bacterium. RNAcentral describes it as "partial 16S ribosomal RNA". It matches the Rfam family "Bacterial small subunit ribosomal RNA", at positions 524 to 776 of the family's 1533-position model. The record is from RNAcentral.
UACGAAGGGGGCUAGCGUUGCUCGGAAUUACUGGGCGUAAAGGGCGCGUAGGCGGGUCGUUAAGUUGGGGGUGAAAGCCCAGGGCUCAACCCUGGAAUUGCCUUCAAUACUGGCGACCUUGAGUAUGGCAGAGGUGUGUGGAACUCCGAGUGUAGAGGUGAAAUUCGUAGAUAUUCGGAAGAACACCAGUGGCGAAGGCGACACACUGGGCCAUUACUGACGCUGAGGCGCGAAAGCGUGGGGAGCGAACAGG